UUGGCAACUUUCCUCGAUGUCCGGUUCCGG
This 30-nucleotide non-coding RNA is filed under the name Rattus norvegicus (Norway rat). The record is from RNAcentral. Lineage: Eukaryota; Metazoa; Chordata; Mammalia; Rodentia; Muridae.